RNAcentral lists this small nuclear RNA (158 nucleotides) under Oryza sativa Japonica Group (Japanese rice). RNAcentral's name for it is "U2 spliceosomal RNA". Lineage: Eukaryota; Viridiplantae; Streptophyta; Magnoliopsida; Poales; Poaceae. The record is from RNAcentral.
AGCACAAGUAUGGAUGAUUAUCCUACUCCUUCCGUUUCAGAUUUUAAGUUGUUUUGAUUUUGGUUAAAGUUAAACUAUUAAACUAAGUUUGUAAAUAAAUAUAGUAAUAUUUACAACAAAGAAUUAAUAUCAUUAAUUAAAUCUAUAGUUGAAUAUAU